AUCCAGCUGAAGGACGAGUCCCAAAUAGGACGAAAUGCGCGUUGUCCUGGAU
Molecule: non-coding RNA, 52 nt
Organism: Trichobilharzia regenti
Lineage: Eukaryota; Metazoa; Platyhelminthes; Trematoda; Strigeidida; Schistosomatidae
Source: Rfam